CUCAGAUUGAACGCUGGCGGCAGGCCUAACACAUGCAAGUCGAGCGGUAACAGGAAUUAGCUUGCUAAUUUGCUGACGAGCGGCGGACGGGUGAGUAAUGCCUAGGGAACUGCCCAGUCGAGGGGGAUAACAGUUGGAAACGACUGCUAAUACCGCAUACGCCCUACGGGGGAAAAGAGGGGACCUUCGGGCCUUCUGCGAUUGGAUGUACCUAGGUGGGAUUAGCUAGUUGGUGAGGUAAUGGCUCACCAAGGCGACGAUCCCUAGCUGUUCUGAGAGGAUGAUCAGCCACACUGGGACUGAGACACGGCCCAGACUCCUACGGGAGGCAGCAGUGGGGAAUAUUGCACAAUGGGCGCAAGCCUGAUGCAGCCAUGCCGCGUGUGUGAAGAAGGCCUUCGGGUUGUAAGCACUUCAGCGAGGAGGAAAGCGUUAAGCGUUAAGUAGUCGUUUAGGUGUGACGUUACGUCGCAGAGAAGACGGCGUAACUUCGG
Molecule: ribosomal RNA, 494 nt
Filed under: uncultured bacterium
Lineage: Bacteria
Description: bacterial SSU rRNA
Rfam family: Bacterial small subunit ribosomal RNA
Source: RNAcentral